Molecule: ribosomal RNA, 253 nt
Filed under: uncultured bacterium
Lineage: Bacteria
Description: partial 16S ribosomal RNA
Rfam family: Bacterial small subunit ribosomal RNA
Source: RNAcentral
UACGUAGGGUGCGAGCGUUGUCCGGAAUUAUUGGGCGUAAAGAGCUUGUAGGCGGUUUGUCGCGUCUGCUGUGAAAUCCCGAGGCUCAACCUCGGGCCUGCAGUGGGUACGGGCAGACUGGAGUGCGGUAGGGGAGAAUGGAAUUCCUGGUGUAGCGGUGAAAUGCGCAGAUAUCAGGAGGAACACCGGUGGCGAAGGCGGGUCUCUGGGCCGUAACUGACGCUGAGGAGCGAAAGCGUGGGGAGCGAACAGG